RNAcentral lists this ribosomal RNA (600 nucleotides) under uncultured bacterium. RNAcentral's name for it is "bacterial SSU rRNA". The stretch from base 1 to 440 matches the Rfam family "Bacterial small subunit ribosomal RNA", at positions 96 to 538 of the family's 1533-position model. The record is from RNAcentral.
CGGCGUACGGGUGCGGAAACACGUGUGCAACUCGCUCUAUCUGGGGGAUAGCUUUCGAAAGGAAGAUUAAUACCCCAUAAUAUGUNUGAAUGGCAUCAUUCGACAUUGAAAACUUCCGGUGGAUCAGAGAUGGGCACGCGCAAGAUUAGAUAGUUGGUGAGGUAACGGUCACCAAGUCUACGAUCUUUAGGGGGCCUGAGANGGUGAUCCCCCAAAUUGGUACUGAGACACUGGGCCAGACUCCUACGGGAGGCAGCAGUGAGGAAUCAUCUUGGACAAUUGGGUCGAGAGCCUGAUCCAGCCAUCCCGCGUCGAAGUGACGACUGGCCUAUGGGUUUGUAAACUUCUUCUUUGUCAUCAGGGAUAAAACUUACCUCGUGAGGGUAGCUGAAGGUCACUAUACGAAUAAGGCACCUGGGUUUAAACUCCUGUUGCCCAAGGCAGCCNGCUGGGUAACAUCACCGGGAGUGGGUUGCAAAGGCUGGUUAUACCCGGGGUAAACUUCUGGGGUUAUUCAAAAGGGGGUCCCAGAAAGGCGGGAUUCCUUGUCAAUGGUCCAAGUCGGUUGGAAAAUCUUCGAAACAGUGAGUUUAAACAUUU